This 497-nucleotide ribosomal RNA is filed under the name uncultured bacterium. RNAcentral describes it as "partial 16S ribosomal RNA". It matches the Rfam family "Bacterial small subunit ribosomal RNA", at positions 28 to 507 of the family's 1533-position model. The record is from RNAcentral.
GAUGAACGCUGGCGGCGUGCCUAAUACAUGCAAGUCGAGCGAACGGACGAGAAGCUUGCUUCUCUGAUGUUAGCGGCGGACGGGUGAGUAACACGUGGAUAACCUACCUAUAAGACUGGGAUAACUUCGGGAAACCGGAGCUAAUACCGGAUAAUAUUAUGAACCGCAUGGUUCAAAAGUGAAAGACGGUCUUGCUGUCACUUAUAGAUGGAUCCGCGCUGCAUUAGCUAGUUGGUAAGGUAACGGCUUACCAAGGCAACGAUGCAUAGCCGACCUGAGAGGGUGAUCGGCCACACUGGAACUGAGACACGGUCCAGACUCCUACGGGAGGCAGCAGUAGGGAAUCGUCCGCAAUGGGCGAAAGCCUGACGGAGCAACGCCGCGUGAGUGAUGAAGGUCUUCGGAUCGUAAAACUCUGUUAUUAGGGAAGAACAUAUGUGUAAGUAACUGUGCACAUCUUGACGGUACCUAAUCAGAAAGCCACGGCUAACUACGUG